AUGGAGCUCAUGGGGCCUGCACGCCACGGAGUCCCCGACUGAGGAGCGAGGAGGGCUCUUGUGGGGGCAGAUCUGGAGUCAUACUUGAGGCCAGGCUCGAAUCCUGCCUUCCUUUGGUGGCUCUGAGAUUCAGGGCUGGCUUUUCUGAGAAUACCCAAGUGAGGUGCCUUGGGAUGUCCCUGACUUGGAGACACAGAGGAGGCUGGGCACCCCUUUUCCCCGACUCACUGAGCCAGAUAUUGUGAGCCCUGGAGGACACAAAUU
Molecule: long non-coding RNA, 264 nt
Filed under: Macaca mulatta (Rhesus monkey)
Lineage: Eukaryota; Metazoa; Chordata; Mammalia; Primates; Cercopithecidae
Description: lncRNA (ENSMMUG00000063151.1)
Source: RNAcentral